GUGGCCUCUGGUACUCUCCGUCGGUCAGAGCACGGCAGGCGUAACGGGAAAUUGGGUGUGAAUCCCAUGCCGCCCGGCGACUGUGAGCGGCGACGGCAACCGCGGGGUCCUGCUUCAGGACCUGCCACUGGGGGAAACCCUGGGAAGGCGCGGCUAGCCGGUUGACCCGCAAGCCAGGAGACCGACGCAUGCCGAUGGUGUUGA
RNAcentral lists this non-coding RNA (204 nucleotides) under Acidobacteriota bacterium. The record is from RNAcentral. Lineage: Bacteria; Pseudomonadati; Acidobacteriota.